RNAcentral lists this ribosomal RNA (498 nucleotides) under uncultured bacterium. Its description in RNAcentral is "partial 16S ribosomal RNA". It matches the Rfam family "Bacterial small subunit ribosomal RNA", at positions 30 to 523 of the family's 1533-position model. The record is from RNAcentral.
AUUGAACGCUGGCGGCAUGCCUUACACAUGCAAGUCGAACGGAUCAAGGGGCUUGCUCCUUGGUUAGUGGCGAACGGGUGAGUAAUGCAUCGGAACGUACCCAAUCGUGGGGGAUAACGUAGCGAAAGUUACGCUAAUACCGCAUAAGUCCUGAGGGAGAAAGCAGGGGAUCGCAAGACCUUGCGCGAAUGGAGCGGCCGAUGUCGGAUUAGCUAGUUGGUGAGGUAAAGGCUCACCAAGGCGACGAUCCGUAGCUGGUCUGAGAGGACGACCAGCCACACUGGGACUGAGACACGGCCCAGACUCCUACGGGAGGCAGCAGUGGGGAAUUUUGGACAAUGGGCGAAAGCCUGAUCCAGCCAUGCCGCGUGAGUGAAGAAGGCCUUCGGGUUGUAAAGCUCUUUCGGACAGAAAGAAAUCUUCCGGGCUAAUACCUCGGAAGGAUGACGGUACUGUAAGAAGAAGCACCGGCUAACUACGUGCCAGCCGCCGCAGUAA